GUCAGGAGCAAUAGCACGUUGAAUACCCCCACUGUUCCACUGACGUUAAGCAACGUUACGCGUGGUUAGUAUCCGGAUGGGUGACCAUCUGGACAAUUGCGUGCUGCUGGCU
RNAcentral lists this ribosomal RNA (112 nucleotides) under Diaphorina citri (Asian citrus psyllid). The record is from RNAcentral. Lineage: Eukaryota; Metazoa; Arthropoda; Insecta; Hemiptera; Psyllidae.